GCCAGGCGCAGUGGCGCAUGCCUGUAGUCCCAGCUACUCGGGAGGCUGAGGUGGGAGGAUCACCUGAGCCCAGGAGUUCUGGGCUGUAGUGUGCUACGCCGAUCAGGUGUCUGCGCUAAUUUCAGCAUCGACAUGGUGACUUCCUGAGAGCAGGAGACCACCAGGUUGCCUAAGGAGGGGAGAACCGGCCUAGGUCAGAAAUGGAGCAGGUCGAAACUCCUGUGCCAAUCAGUAGUGGGAUCACGCCUGUGAAGAGCCACUGCACCCCAGCCUGGGGUAACAUAGCAAGACCCUAUCUCU
This 300-nucleotide signal recognition particle RNA is filed under the name Aotus nancymaae (Ma's night monkey). RNAcentral's name for it is "Metazoan signal recognition particle RNA (ENSANAG00000002790.1)". It matches the Rfam family "Metazoan signal recognition particle RNA". Rfam says of the family: The signal recognition particle (SRP) is a universally conserved ribonucleoprotein. It is involved in the co-translational targeting of proteins to membranes. Lineage: Eukaryota; Metazoa; Chordata; Mammalia; Primates; Aotidae. The record is from RNAcentral.